GUGGGGGAUAUUGGGCAAUGGGGGAAACCCUGACCCAGCAACGCCGCGUGAGGGAAGAAGGUUUUCGGAUUGUAAACCUCUGUCCUUGGUGACGAAGGAAGUGACGGUAGCCAAGGAGGAAGCCCCGGCUAACUACGUGCCAGCAGCCGCGGUAAUACGUAGGGGGCAAGCGUUGUCCGGAAUGACUGGGCGUAAAGGGCGUGUAGGCGGCCGAUUAAGUCUGGAGUGAAAGUCCUGCUUUCAAGGUGGGAAUUGCUUUGGAGACUGGUUGGCUUGAGUGCGGAAGAGGUAAGUGGAAUUCCCAGUGUAGCGGUGAAAUGCGUAGAGAUUGGGAGGAACACCAGUGGCGAAGGCGACUUACUGGGCCGUAACUGACGCUGAGGCGCGAAAGCGUGGGGAGCGAACAGGAUUAGAAACCCCUGUAGUCC
RNAcentral lists this ribosomal RNA (428 nucleotides) under uncultured bacterium. Its description in RNAcentral is "partial 16S ribosomal RNA". It matches the Rfam family "Bacterial small subunit ribosomal RNA", at positions 354 to 796 of the family's 1533-position model. The record is from RNAcentral.